GGACAUUUUUGCAAAGUGGAAUCAUCCCAGAUCACCCAUGGUGCAGGCUCUGAGAGAAGAUGGCCAGUGAGACCCCAUCACUGCUUGGGGCGAGGUCUUCACCCUCAGAUGUGAUGCUGAGGUAGGACCUUCCCGACAGCAGAGCCAUCUGCCCCGGCAAGACAUCCAAAGACAUCCUCCUGGGCGUGAGUUAUGCAGGUAGGCAACUGCUAAAUUCGUUCAAGUAACUCCUAAGCGGUGUGGUGUGGCUUUGGAAAUCAGCAUAUGCUUUAAUCUAUGGAUUUACUCCGCAUACAUUUACAGUCAUCAACAUCACUUCUGUCCAUGUCGAGACGUACGUAUAUGUUUCUACCGCUAUUCAGACUCCUAAAAUAACUGGCACUUUGCCCACAGGCAAACACACUUGAGUCUGAAAAUUUCACAAAAAUAGUUAUGGGGAAAAAGGUCAGAGCUGAUUCAGUGGUGGUUCGGCCCUGAAAUCUGAGCCCCGUUGGGACCCAUGGAGGGAAGCACGUGUGGGCUUUGUCUGAAGAGCCGAUGGAUUCGUCAAAGCCACUGAAACUGGUCCCUGCAGAAUAUCUGAAGAGCUCCAGUCCUUUGGAAUGGGGUCUGGUGAGCAGAGGAAGAGACGAUGGAAAUCUACUGCUCCUGGAUCCUAAUCAAGACAAGGUCAGAACAAAGAUGAUGAGUGAGACAAGUGACAUGGCAGUUAUUAAACAUACAGAUUGCAAAAGCCAACAACUUGAAGUUGUGUUCUGUUCAAAAAUCAAUUAAUCGCAGAGUUGAUUCCUGGAGUUUGCUUCACACAAGCUGGUAGAGCUUCAUGCUUUCCAGGAGCACUAGGCCAACAAGUACACCUCUUUAUGCUCAGAGAAAGCACAUAUACUCCCAUCACCUGUAUAGCACCACGUUAAGGAAGAAAACAGGAAGAUUGUACAUAAGAGUUUAUUUUUACGUGUUGACUGAACACGCACCACAGUGGUUAAACCAAAGAUGUUUACUUAUUACUGAAUUUAUAUCCAUCAUAUAUCUAAGUAUUAGUUGAAAGUGAAAGU
RNAcentral lists this long non-coding RNA (1055 nucleotides) under Capra hircus (goat). RNAcentral's name for it is "lncRNA (ENSCHIG00010017971.1)". The record is from RNAcentral. Lineage: Eukaryota; Metazoa; Chordata; Mammalia; Artiodactyla; Bovidae.